Molecule: long non-coding RNA, 1740 nt
Filed under: Hordeum vulgare
Lineage: Eukaryota; Viridiplantae; Streptophyta; Magnoliopsida; Poales; Poaceae
Description: long non-coding RNA (HVUL_LNC020615)
Source: RNAcentral
CGGAAACAGAAAGAAAGAAAAUAUGUUUUAAGUAGGUAGCAGUAUGUUUUUGAAGAUGAUGGCUUCCUAAUAUUUAAGCAUACAAUUGAAAUUUACUGAACCGUGGGAGAUGAAUUGGAGGUACAGUACAAGAAUGAAUAAAUAGAUUCUAUUUAUAUUUUCCACACCCUACAUGUACAACACCGAGAAGCUCCUCGUAAAUCAAGCUUACAAGGGUGAGCAUUGAACAAUCAUACUCUCUUCUUGCUAGCCGGCGAUGAGAACACUUGUGCAACAAUUAGUAUUGCAAUGUUCUCCUUGAUAGGUUCAUGAAGAUUGCCAGCGAUACGGAUCUCAUUAAAUACUUAGGACUGAAUAUUUCACCAUUGGUAUUCAUAGGAAUUAAUCAGUACUACAUAUAAUGGUACAACUCGCAAGAAAUUUCAUAGCAUGUGAAUAAGUGGGAAAAGCAAUAUGACAAUUUAAUGUCUCAUCGACCCUGCAAGCUGGCAGCAUCCGAAGUGAUGAUCAUUUUAAACAUAAUCUUUGACUACAAGAAUGACUACACUACAAUUCAUUGUUUAUUUUUUCCUGGACCUUUUUACCCUAAAUAAGAAAUAAUACAAGGACAAACUUAAAGAACGCUAAUGCGGUGUAGUGCCAUCAGGCAUGGAUAAGUAUGCAAGGAAAAACUCAUGUUCUGGGCUUUUUUACCCUGAACGAUGCAUGGAACGACAGUAAUAAACAUAUUAGGAAAAUUAUGCAUCUUUAUUUGUCCAUAAUAAGUUUUGUCUAUUCUGCCAAAUCAGUUUUUUUUACUAUAUCAUUCGGCCGCCACUCUGUCCACAUGGGGAGUGUGCUAGCAUUAGUAGCAUGUAUCUAAACUCUGAUUACCAGCACAUACAUUGAUUAACAAUAAUGCUGGUGCAAAGAGGACUCACAUGUGGUGAGAAACUGAAGAAGUGUUGGCUAAUGGUUGAGGGCGCUCGAAGGGUUGAUAUCACUGAACAAGCUGUGCACCAGUGCAACCCCUAGAAAACUUUAGAAAUGAUGUUUCUAUCCACCAGCAUAAAUCAAAAGAUAAACCUAUGAUUACGUGGUAGGCCUGAUAAGCCACUCCAAACCAAUCGAAAAAGAGAUCAAUCUGUGACUUGCUGAAUAAUUAACAAACUUGGUGUUGUUGUCCACUACCAAAUGAUUGGUGCCCGCAGCUCGUUUGGCUCUGUCUGCUUGGUGCCAGCAAAUUAGCACAUAGAUGCAUCCGCCCACAGUAUCAACAGCUCAUCAAAGAACGGAUUAGUACCUUAGCAGGGAUAGAAAAAUACGAAGCAGACAAACGGAAUUUGCAGUUAUCAACAAACACUAAUUUGAAUAACUUCUAAAUCUCACAUAGUGCAGGGGUGCUGUGAGUAUCAUUGUGUUACAGAAAUAAUGUUCCUUCCUUAGUCUACUACAGGGUGCAGAAUCCAUCGACCACCAUGAUCCUCUAUCACAUUAAAGCUGGUGUACAUCAUCUGAUAACUGUCUCUGUUCCCGUUGAUAAAUUGUGUAACACUAUGACUAAAGAUUAUUACCCCGUUGUCAAUGAAGUGAAGAAAGAACAAAUUAUCUGCACACCCCCAUAUUUAUGAAAGAUUAUUAUCAUCGGUAAGUUUAAAAUAUACACACAUGUUACUACCAAUAAUUAUUAAUGGCUUGUACCUUACAAAUACACCAUACUAAAACAUUAUAUUCUACUCCCUUUGUAAACUAAUAUAAGAN